UGCGAACGGCUCCGCAAACCAGUUGUAAACAUAGGCAUGUCCCGCUCUUGGCUGGCCCUUUCGGGGGCUGGCCUUGGGCAAUUAUAUGGAUACCCGUGGUAAUUCUGAGGCUAAUACAUGACAAUGCUACCCUGCCGUUGGGCUGCCGGUGCCUCUCGGGGUGCUGGUGGUCUGGCGGCGGGGGACGCGCGAGACUAGGCUGGGUGAUUCGGGAAAGAACGCGCGUUCAGACCACCGUGAAGGGCCUUGUGUAGUUGGGGUGCGGCUUGCCGUGCUCCGCUUGCUUUGCCUGGUGGCUCUUGCUUCGUGCUUCUGACCUAUCAACUAGAUGGCAGCAUACGGGACAUGCCAUGGUGACAACGGGUACAGAGGAUCAGGGUUCGAUCCUGGAGAGUGGGCCUGAGAGAUUGCUCAUACUUCUAAGGAAGGCAGCAGGCG
This 438-nucleotide ribosomal RNA is filed under the name Comatricha nigra. RNAcentral describes it as "SSU rRNA". It matches the Rfam family "Eukaryotic small subunit ribosomal RNA", at positions 88 to 434 of the family's 1831-position model. Lineage: Eukaryota; Evosea; Eumycetozoa; Stemonitida; Stemonitidae. The record is from RNAcentral.